Molecule: ribosomal RNA, 253 nt
Filed under: uncultured bacterium
Lineage: Bacteria
Description: partial 16S ribosomal RNA
Rfam family: Bacterial small subunit ribosomal RNA
Source: RNAcentral
UACGGGGGGGGCUAGCGUUGUUCGGAAUUACUGGGCGUAAAGGGCGCGUAGGCGGUCUGCUAAGUUGGAUGUGAAAACUCUGGGCUUAACCCAGAGCCUGCAUUCAAUACUGACAGGCUAGAGUUCUGGAGGGGAUAGCGGAAUUCCUGGUGUAGCGGUGAAAUGCGUAGAUAUCAGGAGGAACACCGGUGGCGAAGGCGCUGCUCUGGGCCGGUACUGACGCUGAGGAGCGAAAGCGUGGGUAGCAAACAGG